CCUACGGGAGGCAGCAGUAGGGAAUAUUGCUCAAUGGGGGAAACCCUGAAGCAGCAACGCCGCGUGGAGGAUGAAGGUUUUCGGAUUGUAAACUCCUUUUGUUAGAGAAGAUAAUGACGGGAUCCAUCGAAUAAGCACCGGCUAACUCCGUGCCAGCAGCCGCGGUUAUACGGAGGGUGCAAGCGUUACUCGGAAUCAGUGGGCGUAAAGAGCGCGUAGGCGGGAUAGCCAGUCAGAUGUGAAAUCCUAUGGCUUAACCCUAGGACUGCAUUUGAAACUGUUAUUCUAGAGUAUGGGAGAGGUAGGUGGAAUUCUUGGUGUAGGGGUAAAAUCCGUAGAGAUCGAGAAGAAUACUCAUUGCGAAGGCGACCUGCUGGAACAUAACUGACGCUGAUGCGCGAAAGCGUGGGGAGCGAACAGGAUUAGAUACCCGUGUAGUC
RNAcentral lists this ribosomal RNA (440 nucleotides) under uncultured bacterium. RNAcentral's name for it is "partial 16S ribosomal RNA". It matches the Rfam family "Bacterial small subunit ribosomal RNA", at positions 338 to 795 of the family's 1533-position model. The record is from RNAcentral.